This is a long non-coding RNA of Poecilia latipinna (sailfin molly), 1333 nucleotides long. RefSeq lists it as uncharacterized. The transcript is spliced from 2 exons. The record is from RefSeq and is a predicted model, not a curated record. NCBI's taxonomy places the organism in Eukaryota, Metazoa, Chordata, Actinopteri, Cyprinodontiformes, Poeciliidae.
GCAGGUUACUCAUCUCUACAACCACUUGUAGGAGUCAUUCAGCAACUGAAUUCAUCUGUUUAUUGAUUACAGAACUUCAUCACUGUUCAGAAAACCAUCAGAACUCGAAACAAGUCAUCUUCAGUUGUCUCAUAAGAUGCCUUUGCCAGCUGAUAGUUGAUAACAGUUGUGUUAAUUGUUUUAAACAUCAUGCUUCGAAGGCAUGGAAAAAUGCAACCUAUGAACAGGCAAAAAAGAAUCAAAACACCCAGAAUAGGUGUUUCAAGCUUCACCAGUAAAUUCCACCAUGGUCUGGAAGUGAGCCAAGAAAGAAAAUCAAAAGGAGAUGAUCCUUGUGUUCCACUUUCUAUGUAAUGUUUAAGUUCCUCCAGUUCCUGUUUCAUCAGGCACAAAAGUACAGCACGUUGGGCCAAUGAUUUUAGAAACACCUCCCUGAGAGGCUGUGAGGAAGUCCAAUAUAACACGGUUUUGCAUAACCAUGUUUCUCAGUUCAGUCAGCUCUCUCACGGUGCCGUUGGCUGUGUACUGUUGAUGAGUCGCAGUAAUUCAUAUCUGUUGAUCUCAACGUGGCUUCGAAUCUCACCUACUCCGACCCAUGGAAAGAUGCCUUGCAUAAAUUUUUUCUCCUGAAGCAAGUUGUCACAGUCUGGGUUGUCCUUCCAGACUUUGCAGCCGGGGGUUGCCCUCUGACCCCUGCAGGCAAUGCAGUUGAUGUAAUCCGGUGUCGUGUCGCAGUAGGUGUAAACUUUGUUACACAAGUUCCAAGGUGGCAUCCCAAGAGAAACGUGUCCGUUGUUGUAAACACAGCUCCUCAGAGAUCCUGGUUUAGCUCCUGCUAAAGAAAUGGUCUCUGGUAUUUUCCAUACAGUUUGUUGAGAUGACGGAAAAGGAAGUACAUCGUCUGCAAGUGAACAAUUUAAAGAUUGAAACAGUCCUUGCACAGCCUCUCCCAUCCGGAGGUCAGCUGAAUAGUCCUUCUCACGUGGUCUGUCUCCCCUUAGGGGUGGGAUGCGCCGCGGUCUGGUGCUUAGAACAUAGAGACACAUCUGUUUGUCGUCAGUAAUGUUACCUGGUCGGAGACCUGAGUUGUGUAUGGAAACCGGCAGCUGCGCACACACGUAGCAGUUCACAGCAUGUCCCUCAUAAGCGGUUCUGUUCAUCAGUUUCCACCACAGAUUGGUACUGUAGUCAUGCGGCAGUCACAGCGCAGUAGAAGAUCCAUCUGGCAUAUGGAGUCCCCAUUGCUGCUCGGCGUACAGAGAUGUCAGAACCCCCAAACUAAAGAGUGAGGAUCUGUCGAGUUUCUUCACUGGCGUUGAGACAAACCGCCCUA